Octopus bimaculoides (California two-spot octopus) is the source of this 192-nucleotide non-coding RNA. Lineage: Eukaryota; Metazoa; Mollusca; Cephalopoda; Octopoda; Octopodidae. The record is from Rfam.
AUACAUCCUCGGCCUUUUAGCUGAGAUCAAAGUGUAGUAUCUGCUCUUGUCAGCUUAAUAACUGAUACGGUUCCUACUUGGGACCAUCAAUAUUAAACUGAUUUUUAGAAGGAGGCAUAGUCAGGGACUCGCUCCACCUUUGCCACGGGUUGGUCCGGUAUUAUAGUACUUCCAGAAUUCAGCCCAUCUUCA